RNAcentral lists this ribosomal RNA (322 nucleotides) under uncultured eukaryote. Its description in RNAcentral is "partial 18S ribosomal RNA". It matches the Rfam family "Eukaryotic small subunit ribosomal RNA", at positions 1470 to 1796 of the family's 1831-position model. The record is from RNAcentral.
ACCUUAGAUGUUCUGGGCCGCACGCGUGCUACACUGAGUGGAUCAGCGGGUCAGGUUGCGCGAAAGUGUUUCCUAAUCUUGAAAUCCGCUCGUGAUGGGGAUUGACGGUUGCAAUUUUCCGUCAUGAACGAGGAAUACCUUGUAAGCGCGGGUCAUCAUCCCGCGCUGAAUACGUCCCUGCCCUUUGUACACACCGCCCGUCGCUCCUACCGAUUGAGUGGUCCGGUGAGGCUUUGGGAUCUGAGCGGAAAGAGCGUUUCGCUGUUUCUGCUCGGAAAACUCAGUCGAACCUUAUCAUUUAGAGGAAGGAGAAGUCGUAACA